UAAUAGCGUAUAUUUAAGUUGUUGCAGUUAAAAGCUCGUAGUUGGAUUUCGGGCAAGGAGGAGCGGUCCGUCGAUUUGAUGUGUACUGCUUUACCUUGUCUUCCUGUCGGGGAUGCGUUACUGUUCUUUAUUGGACGGUUCGUGGAAUCGGCACUGUUACUUUGAAUAAAUUCGAGUGUUCUAAGCAAGCAUUUGCUUUGAAGACAUUAGCAUGGAAUAACGCGAUAGGACCUUAGGCUAUCUGUUGGUCUGUAGUACUGAGGUAAUGAUUAAGAGGGACAGUUGGGGGCAUUCGUAUUUCAUUGUCAGAGGUGAAAUUCUUGGAUUUAUGAAAGACGAACUUCUGCGAAAGCAUUUGCCAAGGAUGUUUUCAUUAAUCAAGAACGAAAGUUGGGGGCUCGAAGAUGAUUAGAUACCGU
This 419-nucleotide ribosomal RNA is filed under the name uncultured eukaryote. RNAcentral's name for it is "bacterial SSU rRNA". It matches the Rfam family "Eukaryotic small subunit ribosomal RNA", at positions 592 to 1018 of the family's 1831-position model. The record is from RNAcentral.